CCGGAAUUAUUGGGUUUAAAGGGUCCGUAGGUGGAUAAUUAAGUCAGAGGUGAAAUCCUGCAGCUUAACUGUAGAAUUGCCUUUGAUACUGGUUAUCUUGAGUUAUUAUGAAGUGAUUAGAAUGUGUAGUGUAGCGGUGAAAUGCAUAGAUAUUACACAGAAUACCAAUUGCGAAGGCAGGUCACUAAUAAUCAACUGACACUGAGGGACGAAAGCGUGGGUAGCGAACAGGAUUAGAUACCCUGGUAGUCCACGCCGUAAACGAUGGUCACUAGCUGUUUGGACUUCGGUCUGAGUGGCUAAGCGAAAGUGAUAAGUGACCCACCUGGGGAGUACGUUCGCAAGAAUGAAACUCAAAGGAAUUGACGGGGGCCCGCACAAGCGGUGGAGCAUGUGGUUUAAUUCGAUGAUACGCGAGGAACCUUACCAGGGCUUAAAUGUUUGGUGACAGAUCUAGAAAUAGGUUUUUCUUCGGACACUAAACAAGGUGCUGCAUGGUUGUCGUCAGCUCGUGCCGUGAGGUGUCAGGUUAAGUCCUAUAACGAGCGCAACCCCUGUUGUUAGUUGCCAGCGAGUAAUGUCGGGAACUCUAACAAGACUGCCAGUGCAAACUGUGAGGAAGGUGGGGAU
This 630-nucleotide ribosomal RNA is filed under the name marine metagenome. Its description in RNAcentral is "bacterial SSU rRNA". It matches the Rfam family "Bacterial small subunit ribosomal RNA", at positions 545 to 1180 of the family's 1533-position model. The record is from RNAcentral.